GAAAAUGAUCCCACUGAUACUAUUUCAUGUACAUUGCAUUGUAAAGUGUUAAUCUAAUUAUGGAAAGCUAGGCAAUUAUUCCUCUCCUAAAAAUUCUUUGCUCAUGUCCUUGGCCUCUGUUCGCAAGGAAAAAUACCUACAAGGAACUUUGGGUUGUUAUUUAGUCAUCAUCAUUUUCAAUGGUUUUGAAUGGAACUUUGAGUUGCAGGGGUGUCCCUCUUUCUAUUGCUUAACUGACACGACCCACCCCGAAUUUCACCCUGAAACCCAGAGUAAGUCGUGCGGGGACCACCUCCAAGGAAAAUUUACUGAAAAGAUUAAGCAAAUCUCCCUUGCAGAUGGACAACCCUAAGUCGAAAAUUUCAUAUUACACUCUUAAUUUAACGCUUCUGAAUAUCACAUAAUAUACAAAAAUUCUAAAGUAUUCAGAGCUACUAAACACAAGCGGAAGCAAGAAAACACGAGUAGGUUGAACAGGUAACCUACUGAUGAAAACUGGCCGAAAAGCGGGUGACUAUGCCUCGUCUCCUACUAGAUCCAACCCGAACUCUGCAGACUGGGCAAUUUAAAACGAAGGGCCCAGGGGAAACAUUUAAUAACGUUAGAGUGAGUGGACN
RNAcentral lists this long non-coding RNA (617 nucleotides) under Fragaria vesca (wild strawberry). RNAcentral describes it as "long non-coding RNA (FVES_LNC001972)". Lineage: Eukaryota; Viridiplantae; Streptophyta; Magnoliopsida; Rosales; Rosaceae. The record is from RNAcentral.